CCGCCCCCCUCCAUCUUCUUUCUCUCCCAAAACCUUCAUCCCAAGCCAUCCAUGGCUGCUUUCCAUGGCUGCCCUCAACCCCACUCCCUCACGUCCAAACGCCACUAACAAACAGUUCGUCUGCGUCGUCACUUCGUCUUCUUCGUCCUUCGUCAAGCUCGAGUUCGAGCUCAACGUCCAUGGUUGCCCUCACCCUCGUCGUCACCACCAAGCUCACGUCAAACCCCCAGCUCCCCGCCACCACCUAACAACCAGUCAAGACCACCCCCCGCACUCCCCAGCAGCGAACUAAACACCACCACCAUCCACCACGAACAAAGCUCCAGCCAUCGCCACCACCAAACGACCCUUCCGGCGAUCCACCAUAACCCGUCACUGCCCGACGUCCAGUCCCCCCCCCCAGCUGCUGCUUCUUCACCUCCAAACAGACCUCGUCGACCAUUGUUGCUGCGUCGAUUGCCUCCCCGUCGUCAUCACCGUUACGCCCAGUCGUUUCCAUGGCCAAGCUCGUCAACCAGUCGUUUUGGUUGUGUUGUUGCUGCCUCAACGAACAUCAGCUUCUCUCUCUAAGUUGCUACCUCACUUUCAUCUUCUUCGUCGUCCGCUUCAAGCUUGCGCUGCUGCUUCAUCGUCCACCAUUUCGUUCAGUUGAGUUGCUGCCACCAUUUCU
This 670-nucleotide long non-coding RNA is filed under the name Nicotiana tabacum (common tobacco). RNAcentral's name for it is "long non-coding RNA (NTAB_LNC015210)". The record is from RNAcentral. Lineage: Eukaryota; Viridiplantae; Streptophyta; Magnoliopsida; Solanales; Solanaceae.